Methanosarcina sp. Ant1 is the source of this 219-nucleotide non-coding RNA. The record is from Rfam. NCBI's taxonomy places the organism in Archaea, Methanobacteriati, Methanobacteriota, Methanomicrobia, Methanosarcinales, Methanosarcinaceae.
GUCAAUAACCCAUCACUAAAGUGACGGGCAUGUAAAGUGCCCUUGUUGACCAGAUCACCGAUUGGAGUAAACAAAAUCGGUAAACGAUAUGCAAGAAAUAGUUACCUUCAAAUAUCGCCUCAGUUUGAAGCUCUAAGGAUACAAAUUAAACAAUUAUGAGGGUAAGGAAUAGUGUUUGUAUCGUUAAACCUUGCAAUAUCAGAUCGAGAGGAAGAUGGA